This is a non-coding RNA of Prionailurus viverrinus (fishing cat), 671 nucleotides long. The record is from the annotation of a RefSeq genome assembly. Lineage: Eukaryota; Metazoa; Chordata; Mammalia; Carnivora; Felidae.
GAGCUCUUCACAGAUGGUGGCAUAUGAGGAAUUUAGAAGUCAGGAAACACCCAGAUUUUCAAGGAAAAGACUCUUCCAGACGUCUCUGGAACGCAAUUACACAAGAUUCUAGGGCACCCACCAUACACAUUCUUCCUUGUUCCAAGGGUAUUGUUUCCUCAACCAUACUCCUUCUCGCUCAGGAAAGAUCUUCAAAAAGGAGACUACAGUUUCUUCAGUCCUCAGCCAUGAGCUUGGCUCCUGUCCCCAUGCUUGUGUUUAUGAUACUUUUUGCCCCGAGAGGAAAUGGAGCCCAGUCAGUGACCCAGCCUGAUGUCCACAUCACUGUCUCUGAAGGAGCCCCUCUGGAGCUGAGGUGCAACUACUCAUCUUCUGUUCAGGUGUAUCUCUUCUGGUACGUGCAGCACCCCAACCAAGGACUCCGGCUUCUCUUGAAGUACAUAUCAGGGGACAUCCUGGUGAAAGGCACCAAAGGUUUCGAGGCUGAAUUUAGGAAGAGUGAAAAGGCCUUCCACCUGAGGAAACCCGCAGUCCAGUGGAGCGACGCAGCCAAGUACUUCUGUGCUGUGAGUGACACAGUGCCUGGGACUGCAGGGGGAGCUGAACACCAACUUCUGGUGAAUGUGAGGCUUCCAGUGACUCAAGGGAUCAACCUGGGGCACUUUCAGUGA